UACAGAGGGGGCAAGCGUUGUUCGGAAUUACUGGGCGUAAAGGGCUCGUAGGCGGCCAACUAAGUCAGACGUGAAAUCCCUCGGCUUAACCGGGGAACUGCGUCUGAUACUGGAUGGCUUGAGUUCGGGAGAGGAAUGCGGAAUUCCAGGUGUAGCGGUGAAAUGCGUAGAUAUCUGGAGGAACACCGGUGGCGAAGGCGGCAUUCUGGACCGAUAUUGACGCUGAGGAGCGAAAGCCAGGGGAGCAAACGGG
Molecule: ribosomal RNA, 253 nt
Filed under: uncultured bacterium
Lineage: Bacteria
Description: partial 16S ribosomal RNA
Rfam family: Bacterial small subunit ribosomal RNA
Source: RNAcentral